Molecule: long non-coding RNA, 3446 nt
Organism: Dermochelys coriacea (leatherback sea turtle)
Lineage: Eukaryota; Metazoa; Chordata; Testudines; Dermochelyidae
Exons: 7
Source: RefSeq, a predicted model, not a curated record
AAGGGCUAGCUGCUUGAGAGCAAGGUACUCAGGCAAAGGCAGUUCCAGCCUGGUAAACCCUCAGACUACAGGUCUUGGUAAAGGCCCAGAAAGGUACUGGGGCUGCAGAGGGGCAGCCUGGAUAAAAGCAAAGGCGGUAGGUCCUACUCCCUUGCCAAUGAUGAGAGGCCAUUAUAGACUGCAGUCUGCCCAUGUGAGCAGGGGUUAGAUGAUGACUGGCAGUAGCCACUGAGGCAAGGUGGAUUUAGAGGGUUGGGGGUUCCCCUGGGAGGGGUAAUCCAGAGAGUGUGGGGGCACUGACAGAGGGCAGGACCCCAAGGUAAAGGGGCACUGGGGUCUGGGAGGGCCAUGAGGGACCAGCGGCAGGUGAGGCACCAGCUGGGAAGGGGUGCUCUAUAAUCUGGAUAGCUAAUUGCUAAGACAACCAGCAGGAGAAGCUGCACCGGUUCUUCCAGCUUGAUGGAAAGAUCCUGUGCUAUGAUGUGAGUCAAGCCAUCUCCAUUGCUUAUGUGCUGUCUCUGAGAGGUUCUCUCCAAUGGCUUUAUCUGGAGUGCUCUUCUAGCACCUUGGUCAUCCAGUAGCACCACUGAUUGGCAAACUUCCUGCUUCUUAUAAGAGGAUGACUUUAUAAUCUGGCCAGAGGGUCAAAUUACUCUCUCAAAGAGAAAUCGAGGUGUCCUACCUGCAGGAGCAGACUGUGGAACAAAUGAAAACUGAGGAACAGGUGUGAACCAGAUGCUGAAAGCAGUUUAUAAUGUCUUUGAAGAACCUCGCAUUUCUACCUUCCUGGAUGGGUGGAGCUCACACACAGAUGAGGCAGAACUUGCAGCCUUAUAAAAUUCCUUCUGAAGUCCAGAGGGGUCUUUCUGCUGAAUUCUGUGGGAAUUGGACUGGUCUGUAGGGCUUCAAAUACAAGGGAAGUUGCAGAGGAGGUUUUUGGUCCAUGUAAACAAUCUUUGGAGAAGAACCAUAGGAGCGUCGAAACUGCAGGAGGAGAGUUGAGCUGGAGUUUGUUGGAAAACUGCUUUAUAAACAAGCUGGAGCAUGAGCAGCAGGGAGUCGGCAUGUCUGCUGUGCACCACACAACAGACACAGAGGGACCUUCUACUCAAGAAUUUUAAGCCUCCAUGUGAGGAAUAUGUGGGGCUUUUCAUCACCUGGGGCAUCCAGGACAUUGAAACUGAUGCCUCUUUCCCUACCAUAGAAAGACUAACAAAUUGAGUCAAAACUACUGGGAUUUGAACUCUUCUAAGCUUUCUCCUCUGCUUUUCAUUUCAGCAUGUGCUUGUAAAACAUCCAAGUUAACACUCAACAACUGUCAGAAGGAAUUAUGGGGCAGGAGAGGUGGUUUUUUUUUUUUUCAAUAAAUUAACAAAGGUCUUAAUUUCCAAAAUUUUGUCAGGGAAAAUAUAAACACUCCCUAAAUCACUUAAACUGUCCAGGUCAGCAAACUCCCACCAGCCUGGGGGUGUGCCACCACCUCACAUGCAAUAAAAGAAACACAUACCUUCAUAAGAAUGCAUACAAGGAACCUACCCCACAAGCUUGUCCUUGCCUAGUUUUAGAAGGACAUAAUCAUACACUUGAGUAGCACAAAGACUGCUUCACUCAAAUAUCUAAAAGGGUGGUAUGAUGGCUGAGAUUUGGAUUCUAUUCCAACUUGUUCACAAUACUCAGCAUUUUUGGGUAACAUGGAGGGCUGCCCAUGCUUCUUGGACUAGUUUCUUUUAUUGCAUGUGAGGUGGUGGCACACCCCCAAUAGCUUUAUAUAAUUAGGGGAGGAAAAACAACUAAUGAUGUUUUCUGAUAUAAGCAGUGCACACCAAACCUACAUUACCUCUCCUCAUGUAACCUGGUACAAUGUGAUAUAUUUGGCUAAGAUUGUAAAAUUUCCCCCUCAGAGGAUUUCAUUUUUAGAAGCUGUUGCUGAUAACAGGUGGCAAAAUACUUGCAUUAUUCCAAAGUCAUUAGUUACCCCAUGAACCUGAUAUAAAUUAAGCCUGAGUGCUCAUUGCUGCUAGAUGUUGCAAGUCUGUGGAGUAAACUUUUCAGAAAAAUUUUCACCUGGAAUGUACCAAAUGUGUUGCCAAUGCAUUUUUUUCAUACACGCAUCUUAGUACCUGAUUUUUUUUUCCCCAAAACUGCUUGCAUAGUUUUGCAUCUAAAUGUGUGCAAUUUAAUGCCUAAACUGCCAAUCAUGCAUUUGUAUGUGAAAAUGACUGAAUCUGCCUUCUACUGGCCAUUUGUACACACCUGCUGUCUGCAUCUAAUCCUGAUAAUUAGGUUCACAGUUGAAUGCAUAAACUCUCUUAAAAAAAAUCAGGCCUUUAAUCUCCUUGUAAUUCUGCUGUAUAUGAGUUUUCAUAAUGAAUCUUUAAUUGCUGUUGUGUUUUCAUUUCUAUAAACUGACUACUGUAUGAAAUUCUAUUUGUGUUAACAGGUACAAUAGUAAUUGGUGUCUCUUACAGGGCCUACUCACAUUUUGGGAGUAGGCAUUCUGCACAUCAUUUUACAUGUAAGGACCCAGUCCAAGAUAUUGGGUCAGAUCCUGACUUCCCCACUCAGGCUGCUUUAUAGAAAGCUGAUGGAAAGUCAAGGGAUCUGUUCCCCUUAGCAUCCUCUGUGUAUGGAGCAAUACUCUGGUAUAGACCUGCAGUGACUCUGAACCAUGCAUACUCAACCCCCAUAUGGCAGGCUACACUCCCCCUCCUUUAUACUACCUAAGUGUUUCAAUACCCUGGUGAUCACUGGCUUAUGGAACAGCCCUUAAGGGGUCUUGGUUGGUGGUGCAAGAUGAAGCAGCUGUUAGGCUAACUUAUUUUAAUAUAAAGCAACUAGAUAGUCCCAAUCUAGGGUGGAUAAAAGUUAACCUUGGUGCCACCUUUACCCCUUGAGAAGAUUUAAGCUGCACCCAGUGUGGCGCACAUCCAGCGUGAGAUCCAAGCUUGAGUUCUCUGGCUUGUAUAAAUGGUCUCUGUUUGAUACUGUACAUUACAAAAAUGAACAUAAGCAUUUGGGCUGAUUAAAUGGGUGAGGCAGGGAUAGCAGUUGGGAGAAGCCACCACAGUUAAGAAUGGAAACAUGAGCACUCCAAGUUUUUAUAAGCCUACCAGCCCCUUGAACAACUUUUAGUAUAAAUUUAUAUAGUGGCAUGUUAAUGGGUUUUUAAAACAACUAUGUGGAAUAUUGCAGGAAGGCACUCUAACACCUGAGGAUAUUGCUAUAUGGCUGAGGAGAGAAUGCAAGUGCAGGUUCUAUCCAGCAGUUAUGACUGGGAUCACUUUAAAAUCUUACUGUGCCAUCCAGACCCUCAGGGCCUAACACAACAGUCCUACAAAGAGGAUAUUUCUAUAGCUAGCUGCCUGACAAUUAUUUUAAUUUGUUUAAAUUGGUAUAGCCCUGUGGACAGCUUACUUAAAAGCUCCACUCUAUUAUGUGUUCAUUCC